This 397-nucleotide ribosomal RNA is filed under the name uncultured bacterium. Its description in RNAcentral is "partial 16S ribosomal RNA". It matches the Rfam family "Bacterial small subunit ribosomal RNA", at positions 523 to 918 of the family's 1533-position model. The record is from RNAcentral.
AUACGUAGGGAGCAAGCGUUGUCCGGAAUUACUGGGCGUAAAGGGCGCGUAGGCGGGUAUUUAAGUCAGGUGUGAAAACUCCGAGCUCAACUUGGAGAUUGCACUUGAAACUGGGUAUCUUGAGGGCAGGAGAGGAAAGUGGAAUUCCUAGUGUAGCGGUGAAAUGCGUAGAUAUUAGGAGGAACACCAGUGGCGAAGGCGACUUUCUGGACUGUACCUGACGCUGAGGCGCGAAAGCGUGGGUAGCGAACGGGAUUAGAUACCCCGGUAGUCCACGCUGUAAACGAUGAAUACUAGGUGUAGGAGGUAUCGACCCCUUCUGUGCCGCAGUUAACACAAUAAGUAUUCCGCCUGGGGAGUACGAUCGCAAGAUUGAAACUCAAAUGAAUUGGCGGGG